CCAUGGGAGGAGGGGGAGGAAAUGCCCAUCUGCUCAGAUCCUGAGCUCUGAGGAGGUGAGAUUUGCCCAUGGCCACAUCCGCACCUCCUGGAGAAGCUCAUCUGGGAAAAUGGCAUCAUCCAGGAGUGAAAAGAAGAGAGAGCUUAAACUGGCUCAAGAUGUGUUUCUUCCAUCUGUAACCCAUGAGUCCUAAAUCAUUUGGGACUUUUCUCAGUUUUCCUGUUUUUUAGAGACUCUGAAAAGUAAACUAAAGAUCAGAAAUGAUUCGUCUCAGAGUCCAACCUGUCCAUGAGGGUUUGGGGAAGAAUGAGUAGAAAGAAAGAGUGGAAAAUCAUGCAGACUGUGCCACCACCCGCAAGCUUGAAAACACCCAAGGAAACCAUCCCGGCAUUGUGAGUAGACUAAUCGCCACGUACCACUCAGUUUUCCCUUCCUGGACUGCGUCACUGGCCGUAGCCCUGUGGUUCCCACGUUGUUUCUGUCAUCGUCCCAAGGAGCAUAAUUCCUGAUCCUGAGUCUGGGCAGGACAGCCUGUCUCAGCACGAGCUCUUAUGUAAGGUGGCUAUGGGAAGAGUUGGCAAUAAACAAACAUAUUUCCAGCCA
Aethalodelphis obliquidens (Pacific white-sided dolphin) is the source of this 603-nucleotide long non-coding RNA. RefSeq lists it as uncharacterized. Lineage: Eukaryota; Metazoa; Chordata; Mammalia; Artiodactyla; Delphinidae. The transcript is spliced from 3 exons. The record is from RefSeq and is a predicted model, not a curated record.